This 497-nucleotide ribosomal RNA is filed under the name uncultured bacterium. RNAcentral's name for it is "partial 16S ribosomal RNA". It matches the Rfam family "Bacterial small subunit ribosomal RNA", at positions 28 to 507 of the family's 1533-position model. The record is from RNAcentral.
GACGAACGCUGGCGGCGUGCCUAAUACAUGCAAGUUGAGCGCUGAAGGUUGGUACUUGUACCAACUGGAUGAGCAGCGAACGGGUGAGUAACGCGUGGGGAAUCUGCCUUUGAGCGGGGGACAACAUUUGGAAACGAAUGCUAAUACCGCAUAAAAACUUUAAACACAAGUUUUAAGUUUGAAAGAUGCAAUUGCAUCACUCAAAGAUGAUCCCGCGUUGUAUUAGCUAGUUGGUGAGGUAAAGGCUCACCAAGGCGAUGAUACAUAGCCGACCUGAGAGGGUGGUAGGCCACAUUGGGACUGAGACACGGCCCAAACUCCUACGGGAGGCAGCAGGAGGGAAUCUUCGGCAAUGGACGAAAGUCUGACCGAGCAACGCCGCGUGAGUGAAGAAGGUUUUCGGAUCGUAAAACUCUGUUGGUAGAGAAGAACGUUGGUGAGAGUGGAAAGCUCAUCAAGUGACGGUAACUACCCAGAAAGGGACGGCUAACUACGUG